This 682-nucleotide unclassified non-coding RNA is filed under the name Hevea brasiliensis (rubber tree). Lineage: Eukaryota; Viridiplantae; Streptophyta; Magnoliopsida; Malpighiales; Euphorbiaceae. The record is from RNAcentral.
GUGAGACAUGAUUCCUUGGUCUUUCAUUUGUAUUUCUUUAUUUUCUAUCGUUCUAUGAUUCCAUUGUGUUCUGUGAUCAAGGAUAAACUAACCAAGAUAAUCAUGGCUACAUUUGCAUUUGAGCUUUUUUCCUAUCAUUUUUUAAGUUUCCAUUGUCCAGGAUUAGCUUAGUUUAGCUGUCAUCUAUUUCUAUUGACCUUUAAACUGUCGUGUUAUUUUUUCUUAAUUGAUUAAUCUGUUCAAAUACUACCUAGCUAAUAUGAUUUAUGAUUGUUGGGUGUCUUUUUUUUAUUGAUAUUGCAAUUUUAUAUAUGAGUUACAACCAAAAGCUCUCUCUCCCUCCCCCCACUUCCCUCUUCCCACAAUAUAUGAUGUACAUUUACUUUAGAAAGUCAUCAAAACUGAAGCUUUCUUUCAUGUUGGUUUGAAGGUUCAGUUGGAUAUUUACUUAGAAAAUAGUUUUAACUGAUCAGACUGUUGAAAAAUCAUAUGAUUUUUGCUGGUUCAAUUGGUGAAACAAGCAAGGCAAAAUAUUAUAACUUAUAAUUGCUGUUAAUAUCUAAACUUUCAGAUAUGGUAGUUAUAUUUUUAAACCGGUUGUCUGUAUCUUCCUUUUUAAUUAUUGCAUGCCAUUUAUUAUUAUGUUUGGAUUAGUCCUAUGUGAAUUCCUUUCUGGUUGAAG